RNAcentral lists this long non-coding RNA (286 nucleotides) under Elaeis guineensis (African oil palm). Its description in RNAcentral is "long non-coding RNA (EGUI_LNC012725)". Lineage: Eukaryota; Viridiplantae; Streptophyta; Magnoliopsida; Arecales; Arecaceae. The record is from RNAcentral.
AUAUGUAUUUGUUCCUCUAGCGCCAUUGAGCUACUCUCCGUAGCCUCUGAGCCCUCCUCAUCAGGGAUGGUGCACUCAAGGAUAAAGUCCAUCAAGACCUGAGCUUUGAUUGAAGGCCUUGGGCAAAACUUAAUGUCGAACUCAGAGAGUUGUAAGGCCCAUUUUGCAACAUGUCCCGACAUAUCCAGACGGUGGAGGAUUGCCUUGAUCGGUAGAUUCAUGAACAGUACUAUCGUAUUGUUAGAUGUGUGCCAUAGAUGCUAGAUCGGCUGACACAUUCCUGUAC